Mangifera indica (mango) is the source of this 885-nucleotide long non-coding RNA. RefSeq lists it as uncharacterized. The record is from RefSeq and is a predicted model, not a curated record. The transcript is spliced from 4 exons. Lineage: Eukaryota; Viridiplantae; Streptophyta; Magnoliopsida; Sapindales; Anacardiaceae.
UUCUUUAUCUCAUUGGCCCUGUUAAUCCCUAACUUCUGGUGUGGUCGAAACGUGUCCACCCAGAAACCAUCUUUUAGGGCAAAAGCAUAUUCAACUAUUUUCAAUAAUUCAAAUUCUACUUUCUUUUUCUUUGAAAUUUUAUAAAUGCAAUUCAAGCACAUUCCAGUGUUGAAGCUUAAAUAAACUCUACUUUGUAUUUAUUUCUACCUCUUCUAGCUCAAGAAUAUUGCAGGAAUAAAGAAUUGUGGUGAGGAGAGAGAGAAAGCUUCAACAGCUUCUUUCUCUUCUUCACCCUUUCAUUUCUACUGUCUUUAAGUCCUUCCGACUCCUUGGCUUCCCUAGUUUCCUCUAAUCACAAGGUUUCAUCAUGAAGAGAACCAAAAGGUGCCUGGACCUUGAAGGUAUGGAGCGUGAAACCCAGAAGGCUGCUAGGGAGGUUAAAAAAAAACAGAAUAUCAACGGCUUAUCAAAGGGAAUCGAUUCUCAAACACUUCGAUUACUCUGAAAAAUCCAGCCAAGCCAUCGAUUUUCUUCAAAGGUGUCGUGUGCUAGUGAAGUGUUAUCCGAAUAUACCAGAGAGAUAUUGAAAGAGCAAAGGUAUAAUCUUGAAGAACAAAUGGCCAGCUUGAUGAUCACUCCUUCAUCACAUGUAAGUGGUCAACAUCAACCAGAAGAAGAUGAAGAAUCGGAUUCUCUUUUCCCUGUUGGAGAUCAUGAGCCAUCAGACAUGAAUUAAGAUGAUGGCUCAAGGUGGUCGGCUUUUCCGAAUGUUAUCAUCAAUAAUUAUGGGAAUGUUUGUCGUUAAUUAUUUCAUAUGCUGACGUUUGGGAUUGUAAGAGAAUGAUGGUCUUCCAUUUAACCAAUGUGUUACCAAUUUGAAACAAA